This 72-nucleotide transfer RNA is filed under the name Neotoma lepida (desert woodrat). It matches the Rfam family "tRNA". From Rfam's summary of the family: Transfer RNA (tRNA) molecules are approximately 80 nucleotides in length. Lineage: Eukaryota; Metazoa; Chordata; Mammalia; Rodentia; Cricetidae. The record is from Rfam by way of RNAcentral.
GAGGGUGUAGCUCAGUGGAAGAGUGGAUGUCUANUGUGCACAAAGGCCUGGGUUCACUUCCCAGCACUGUNA